CUGCAUGGCUGUCGUCAGCUCGUGUCGUGAGAUGUUGGGUUAAGUCCCGCAACGAGCGCAACCCUUGCCUUUAGUUGCCAUCAUUCAGUUGGGCACUCUAGAGGGACUGCCGGUGUCAAACCGGAGGAAGGUGGGGGAUGACGUCAAGUCCUCAUGGCCUUUAUGCCCAGGGCUACACACGUGCUACAAUGGGCGGUACAAAGGGUAGCGAUGCCGCGAGGCGAAGCCAAUCCCAAAAAGCCGUCCUCAGUUCGGAUUGGAGUCUGCAACUCGACUCCAUGAAGCCGGAAUCGCUAGUAAUCGCGGAUCAGCAUGCCCGUACGGUUCCGAAUACGUUCCGGCCUU
RNAcentral lists this ribosomal RNA (345 nucleotides) under uncultured Anaeromyxobacter sp. RNAcentral describes it as "bacterial SSU rRNA". It matches the Rfam family "Bacterial small subunit ribosomal RNA", at positions 1041 to 1374 of the family's 1533-position model. The record is from RNAcentral. Lineage: Bacteria; Pseudomonadati; Myxococcota; Myxococcia; Myxococcales; Anaeromyxobacteraceae.